Molecule: ribosomal RNA, 452 nt
Filed under: uncultured organism
Description: partial 16S ribosomal RNA
Rfam family: Bacterial small subunit ribosomal RNA
Source: RNAcentral
ACACUCCUGCGGGAGGCAGCAGUGGGGAAUCUUGCGCAAUGGGCGAAAGCCUGACGCAGCCAUGCCGCGUGAAUGAUGAAGGUCUUAGGAUUGUAAAAUUCUUUCACCGGGGACGAUAAUGACGGUACCCGGAGAAGAAGCCCCGGCUAACUUCGUGCCAGCAGCCGCGGUAAUACGAAGGGGGCUAGCGUUGCUCGGAAUUACUGGGCGUAAAGGGAGCGUAGGCGGACAUUUAAGUCAGGGGUGAAAUCCCGGGGCUCAACCUCGGAAUUGCCUUUGAUACUGGGUGUCUUGAGUAUGAGAGAGGUGUGUGGAACUCCGAGUGUAGAGGUGAAAUUCGUAGAUAUUCGGAAGAACACCAGUGGCGAAGGCGACACACUGGCUCAUUACUGACGCUGAGGCUCGAAAGCGUGGGGAGCAAACAGGAUUAGAAACCCGAGUAGUCCCAUGAU